Long non-coding RNA from Planococcus citri (citrus mealybug), 402 nucleotides. RefSeq lists it as uncharacterized. NCBI's taxonomy places the organism in Eukaryota, Metazoa, Arthropoda, Insecta, Hemiptera, Pseudococcidae. The transcript has 3 exons. The record is from RefSeq and is a predicted model, not a curated record.
AUUAAUUUUUGUUUUGCCAUUCUUACAAUAAUCUGGAACAGAACUGCAACGAACUUACUGUGGGAAAGAAAUUUGCACGAGAAUAUUCAAGAUUACGACCAGAAGACAGCUACAGAGAACGUAGAACACCAUAUUACCGAUCAAAUGAAGAUAAAUUUACGGUGGAUGAUCUGGCAAAAGCAAUAUGGUGGAAUAAAUAUAAUUCGUAAUUCAAUACCUAUUCAUCUCAAUAUUGCAUUAGAUCGCAUUUGCUUCAAUUAUCAAAACUUUUUUUCAACUCGACUGUAAAUGUAUAAUUUUUCAGAAAUACCAAUAAGCAUGACUUAAGUAUUUUUAGUUUUCGCAUACCUACUCAGUAAGUUUCAUUUAUUUGUGUUAAUAAUAAAAAUUAUUGAGAAUUUG